This 459-nucleotide ribosomal RNA is filed under the name uncultured bacterium. RNAcentral describes it as "partial 16S ribosomal RNA". It matches the Rfam family "Bacterial small subunit ribosomal RNA", at positions 339 to 795 of the family's 1533-position model. The record is from RNAcentral.
CCACGGGGGGCUGCAGUGAGGAAUAUUGGUCAAUGGACGCAAGUCUGAACCAGCCAUGCCGCGUGCAGGAAGACGGCUCUAUGAGUUGUACACUGCUUUUGUACGAGGGUAAACGCAGAUACGCGUCUCUGUCUGAAAGUAUCGUACGAAUAAGGAUCGGCUAACUCCGUGCAAGCAGCCGCGGUAAUACGGCGAAUUCAAGCGUUAUCCGGAUUUUUUGGGUUUAAAGGGGGCGUAGGCGGUCGGAUAAGUUAGAGGUGAAAUCCCAAGGCUCAACUUCGGAAUUGCCUCUGAUACUGUUCGGCUAGAGAGUAGGUGCGGUAGGCGGAAUGUAUGGUGUAGCGGUGAAAUGCUUAGAGAUCAUACAGAACACCGAUUGCGAAGGCAGCUUACCAAGCUACUUCUGACGUUGAGGCACGAAAGCGUGGGGAGCAAACAGGAUUAGAUACCCUAGUAGUC